This 440-nucleotide ribosomal RNA is filed under the name uncultured bacterium. Its description in RNAcentral is "partial 16S ribosomal RNA". It matches the Rfam family "Bacterial small subunit ribosomal RNA", at positions 338 to 795 of the family's 1533-position model. The record is from RNAcentral.
CCUACGGGUGGCAGCAGUGGGGAAUAUUGCACAAUGGGGGAAACCCUGAUGCAGCAACGCCGCGUGCGCGAUGAAGGCCUUCGGGUCGUAAAGCUCUGUCCUAGGGGGAGAAUACUGACGGUAGCGUAGGAGGAAGCCCCGACUAACUACAUAAGAGCAGCCUGGGUAAUACGUAGGGGGCUAGGGUUAUCCGGAGUUACGGGCCGUAAAGGGAGCGAAGGCGGUCAGUCAAGGCGUAGGUGAAAGGUUACGUCUCAACCGUAGUAAGCCUUUGAAACUGUAGGGCUUGAGUGCAGGCGAGGAGAGUGGAAUGUCCAGUGUAGCGGUGAAAUGCGUAGAUAUUGGGAGGAACACCAGUUGCGAAGGCGGCUCUCUGGACUGUUACUGACGCUGAGGCACGAAAGCGUGGGGAGCGAACAGGAUUAGAUACCCUUGUAGUC